GACCCGGUACGUCACUGAAGAUAAGAAAAGACUCACUUCCGGGCAUGAAUUGAAAGGAGGAAAACAGGGCUUCAGCAAUAUGUUCUAAAGGUACCACAUGCAUGUUUGUAAUGUUUAUGUUAUUAGAUUACUAAUAGACAAAUGUCCCCAAUCCCGGACAUCCCCUUUAAAUCUGCUACACUGCU
Long non-coding RNA from Bufo bufo (common toad), 185 nucleotides. RefSeq lists it as uncharacterized. The transcript has 3 exons. NCBI's taxonomy places the organism in Eukaryota, Metazoa, Chordata, Amphibia, Anura, Bufonidae. The record is from RefSeq and is a predicted model, not a curated record.